UCAGGCAUCAGCUAUGAAAGGUACCAUAUGCAAUUUUCAUUGUUUUCUUCACACAUGACAGUGCAAACAAUUUUUUCCUUUCUCCAUUUUUUUUCCAAUAUGUCCCUAUUUACUGAAUUGCAGAUAUCAAAAGGCGCAUGGAGAAGGAUGUUAAUGAACUGACAAAGGUUGCCCGGCUCACAAAAUCAAAACUACAACAAUUGAAUAAAGAGGUGAGUUAAUUUGCGUUACUGUAACUUGCAUGAUGCAUAUGCUUUGACAGCGGUAGUAGAUGACAACACGUUUGAGUUCUAAGGAUCUUCACCUUUAUUUGUCACUGACUUAAUGGAGACAUGUCUCUACUGGCACCCGAUAUUUCUACUAUUGAAGGGGAAAUGUGCUGUCGUCGUGAUGGUUACCCUCCCACCCUUGACAAAUUUUAAAUAAUAAUAGCAGCAGUUGGUAUCUCUAUAAUAAAUUUUAGACCAUGUAAUAUAUUGUUCUAUUUGCAUCUAUGUAAUAUAUUCAUCUCUAUUCAACUCUAGCUUUCUGAAGUUUUGUCUAGCUCUUCUGAUCCCGACCAAUUAGUUUAGGCUAUAACUAAUUCGUGGACCCUAUCAUGGAUAAACAGCUAGAGCUGAAGUUUGGGGAGUUGUUCUAAAAUAACUUCAGAAUUUUAUAAUAAAGUUUUGGCUAGAGCUCGUGGGCUUUUGAACAUCAACUUUUGUUUCCUUCAUUGAGUUCCGUCUAUUUCAAGAUGCUGCUUGGAAAAAAGAGAAGAAAAGCAAAGGAAAAGCUCUUCCAACAACCGUGGAUAUGAAAAUGAGAGAAAUAUAAAUAUACCUUUGCCGUAUAUGUUAGUUUUGCAAAGGCCUUCAUUGUAAGGCAAGCACAGAUUAUGUGCUCCUUUUUUAUUUAAUUUUACAUAAGCAACACUUCCAUUUCAUGCAGAAAAGUUGUUUAAUAAAUUUUCUAGAAACAAAAAAGUUCAUGUUUUA
Molecule: long non-coding RNA, 977 nt
Filed under: Hordeum vulgare
Lineage: Eukaryota; Viridiplantae; Streptophyta; Magnoliopsida; Poales; Poaceae
Description: long non-coding RNA (HVUL_LNC014041)
Source: RNAcentral